This 468-nucleotide ribosomal RNA is filed under the name uncultured bacterium. Its description in RNAcentral is "partial 16S ribosomal RNA". It matches the Rfam family "Bacterial small subunit ribosomal RNA", at positions 28 to 507 of the family's 1533-position model. The record is from RNAcentral.
GACGAACGCUGGCGGCGUGCUUAACACAUGCAAGUCGAACGGAAAGGCCCUGCUUUUGUGGGGUGCUCGAGUGGCGAACGGGUGAGUAACACGUGAGUAACCUGCCCUUGACUUUGGGAUAACUUCAGGAAACUGGGGCUAAUACCGGAUAGGAGCUCCUGCUGCAUGGUGGGGGUUGGAAAGUUUCGGCGGUUGGGGAUGGACUCGCGGCUUAUCAGCUUGUUGGUGGGGUAGUGGCUUACCAAGGCUUUGACGGGUAGCCGGCCUGAGAGGGUGACCGGCCACAUUGGAACGGAGAUACGGCCCAGACUCCUACGGGAGGCAGCAGUGGAGAAUAGUGCACAAUGGGAGGAAGCCUGAUGCAGCAACGCCGCGUGCGGGAUGACGGCCUGCGGGUUGUAAACCGCUUUCGCCUGAGACGAAGCGUGAGUGACGGUAAUGGGUAAAGAAGCACCGGCUAACUACGUG